GAUGAAGAACGUAGCGAAAUGCGAUAAGUAAUGCGAAUUGCAGAAUUUCCGUGAGUCAUCGAAUCUUUGAACGCACAUUGCGCCCACCGGUAUUCCGGUGGGCAUGCCUGUUCGAGCGUCAUUAUCCUCCCUCAAACCCCGGGUUUGGUGUUGGACCUCAAGUUGUGCGAACAACUGGUCUUAAAGACAAUGACGGCGUCCGGAGGACCCUCGGUGCAACGAGCUUUCGGGAGCACGCGUCGAGUUUCAAGGACCUUCCGGCCCGGUCUCUUUACUCCUUUCACAAGGUUGACCUCGGAUCAGGUAGGAAUACCCGCUGAACUUAAGCAUAUCAAUAAGCGGAGGA
RNAcentral lists this unclassified non-coding RNA (346 nucleotides) under soil metagenome. RNAcentral describes it as "partial contains 5.8S ribosomal RNA, internal transcribed spacer 2, and large subunit ribosomal RNA". The stretch from base 1 to 121 matches the Rfam family "5.8S ribosomal RNA", at positions 35 to 154 of the family's 154-position model. The record is from RNAcentral.